GUGUAUGGCCAUACCACCCUGAGAACGCCUCAUCUCAUCUGAUCUCAGAAGCUAAGCAGGGUCGAGCCUGGUUAGUACUUGGAUGUGACACUGCCUGGGAAUACCAGGUACUGUAGGCU
This 119-nucleotide ribosomal RNA is filed under the name Mesitornis unicolor (brown roatelo). The record is from RNAcentral. Lineage: Eukaryota; Metazoa; Chordata; Aves; Mesitornithiformes; Mesitornithidae.